GUUAGUUUUUAAGAGCGUUCGGUGGAUGCCUUGGUAUCAGGGGCCGAUGAAGGACGUGGUGGACUGCGAUAAGCCUCGGGGAGCUGUCUGACAGGCUUUGAUCCGAGGGUUUCCGAAUAGGGGAACCUAGCAAGAGUAAUGUCUUGUUACCUGCGCCUGAAUGUAUAGGGCGCAAGGGGGUGUACGCGGGGAAGUGAAACAUCUUAGUACCCGCAGGAAAAGAUAUUCCGUUAGUAGUGGCGAGCGAAAGCGGAUUAGGUGAAACCGUGUUAGUGUGAUAGACGCCAGUUGUUGCUGAUGCGGGGUUGUGGGGCGUGUUUGUUACAUUCUCUGGCGGGGGUGUGCGUAGUUAUAAAUGUUUGGUGUAGUUGAAUAGUCUGGGAAGGCUAAGCGUAGACGGUGAUACUCCGGUAGGCGAAACAUCAGGCACUGCGUUGGGCAUGUUUUCCCCAAGUAGCACGGGGCUCGUGGAAUCUUGUGUGAAUUUGCUAAGACCACUUAGCUGCCUAAAUACUUCCUGGUAACCGAUAGCGGAUAAGUACCGUGAGGGAAUGGUGAAAAGUACCCCGGGAGGGGAGUGAAAUAGUACCUGAAACCGGGCGCUUACAAGCCGUCAAAGCCUUAAGGGGUGAUGGCGUGCCUAUUGAAGAAUGAGCCUGCGAGUUAGUGGCGUGUCGCGAGGUUAACCCGUGUGGGGGAUCCGUAGCGAAAGCGAGUCUGAAAGGGCGGUUAGUGGCACGUUCUAGACCCGAAGCGGGGUGAUCUACCCAUGGCCAGGUUGAAGCACGUGUAAGAGCGUGUGGAGGACCGAACCCACUUCAGUUGAAAAUGGAGGGGAUGAGCUGUGGGUAGGGGUGAAAGGCCAAUCAAACUCCGUGAUAGCUGGUUCUCCCCGAAAUGCAUUUAGGUGCAGCGUUGCGUGGUUCCGGGCGGGGGUAGAGCUACUGGAUGGCUGAUGGGCCUUACAGGGUUACUGACGUCAACCAAACUCCGAAUACCGUCCGGGUAUAGCGUGGCAGUGAGACAGCGGGGGAUAAGCUCCGUUGUCGAGAGGGAAACAGCCCAGAUCGCCGGCUAAGGCCCCUAAGCGUGUGCUAAGUGGGAAAGGAUGUGCGGUCGCGUUGACAACCAGGAGGUUGGCUUAGAAGCAGCCAUCCUUGAAAGAGUGCGUAAUAGCUCACUGGUCAAGUGAUCGUGCGCCGACAAUGUAGCGGGGCUCAAGCACACCGCCGAAGCCGCGGAUCCUCAACAAGCACCCUGUCAAUAUUUUUGUUGGCCAGGGGUUGGGGGUGGUAGGGGAGCGUUGUGUACUGGGUGAAGCGGCCGAGUAAUUGUGUCGUGGACGGUACGCAAGUGAGAAUGCAGGCAUGAGUAGCGAUACUAGGGUGAGAAACCCUAGCGCCGAAUGACCAAGGGUUCCAGGGCUAGGCUAGUCCGCCCUGGGUGAGUCGGGUCCUAAGGCGAGGCCGACAGGCGUAGUCGAUGGAUAACCGGUUGAUAUUCCGGUACCGGCUGGUGACCGUCAAGUGUUGACUGAAAGGUACUAACCCACGCUAAAAACAUGACUGAAUGCCUUUUGGGUGUUUGGUUGUGGUUUUGGUUUGGGGACAGGCUUUCUUGGUAGGCAAGCGUGUGGAGUGACGCACAGUGGAAGCCUUCGCGAGGUGAUGGAAUACCCUCGUUUAACCGUGUAGCUUACUGCUUAGGUAAAUCCGGGUGGUUUUAUGUGAGGCGGGAUGAUGACCAUCUUUGGGUGGGAAGUAGGGGUGAUCCUGUGGUGCCGAGAAAAGCUUCGACGCGAGGUUGUUAGCCGCCCGUACCCUAAACCGACACAGGUGGUCGGGCAGAGUAUGCCUAGGCGCACGAGAUAAUCAUGGUUAAGGAACUCGGCAAAAUGCCCCCGUAACUUCGGGAGAAGGGGGGCCUGAUACUUGAUGAAACCAUUUUUUGUGGCUUUCUAGGGUUGAGGGUCGCAGAGACCAGGGAGAAGCGACUGUUUACUAAAAACACAGGUGCGUGCGAAGCCGUAAGGCGAUGUAUACGCACUGACGCCUGCCCGGUGCUGGAAGGUUAAGAGGAACCGUCAACAUCUCUUUGUGGGUGUGAAGCGGUGAAUUUAAGCCCCAGUAAACGGCGGUGGUAACUAUAACCAUCCUAAGGUAGCGAAAUUCCUUGUCGGGUAAGUUCCGACCUGCACGAAUGGCGUAACGACUUCUCUACUGUCUCAACCAUGAACUCGGCGAAAUUGCAUUACGAGUAAAGAUGCUCGUUACGCGCAGAAGGACGGAAAGACCCCGGGACCUUUACUAUAGCUUGGUAUUGGUGCGCGUUAUAGCUUGUGUAGGAUAGGUGGGAGACUGUGAAGUGGUCACGCUAGUGAUUGUGGAGUCGUUGUUGAAAUACCACUCUGGUUAUAGCGUGUGCCUGAACCUUGGCCCGUGAUCCGGGUUAGGGACAGUGCCUGGUGGGUAGUUUAACUGGGGCGGUU
This 2488-nucleotide ribosomal RNA is filed under the name human oral metagenome. RNAcentral's name for it is "bacterial LSU rRNA". It matches the Rfam family "Bacterial large subunit ribosomal RNA", at positions 1 to 2284 of the family's 2925-position model. The record is from RNAcentral.